RNAcentral lists this long non-coding RNA (379 nucleotides) under Rattus norvegicus (Norway rat). Its description in RNAcentral is "long non-coding RNA NONRATT025175". Lineage: Eukaryota; Metazoa; Chordata; Mammalia; Rodentia; Muridae. The record is from RNAcentral.
GGCGUGAGUAGAGCCAUCCUAAGUGAGCGUCACUGGAAGGAUGGGAAGCAGUAGACAGGAGAGACUGGGAGAGGCUCUCAACAUCAGUCCUGAUACAAACACCCCUCCCAACUAUCUCAUCCUGCUCUGUGAGACAGCCCAUACCGUGCAGACUACACCAGGAGGAGCGGAGCAGUAUGCAAGAAGAAACCAAAGUCCUCUCGCCCUUGUUAUACAUGCCUGCCUACCUUCCAAGCCCCGGCCAGCUCCUAAAUUCCAUGCUUCCAAAUAAGACAGUAAAAUAUUCAGCUCUGUGGAUUGCUAACAGAUUCUUGGCCUGAGCACAAGUCGCCCCUAAUGUGCCUGACUGGAUACCAAUAUAAAGUACAAUGGGUUCGCA